This 124-nucleotide ribosomal RNA is filed under the name uncultured bacterium. RNAcentral's name for it is "partial 16S ribosomal RNA". The record is from RNAcentral.
AUUAGCCGUGGCUUCCUUUGAGGGUACCGUCAUAAUCUUCCCUCUGACAGUGCUUUACGACCCGAAGGCCUUCUUCGCACACGCGGCAUCGCUGCAUCAGGCUUUCGCCCAUUGUGCAAGAUUC